GGGCGCAUAGCUCAGUUGGUUAGAGCGCUUGCUUGACAUGCAAGAGGUCAGAGGUUCAACUCCUCUUGUGCCCACCA
RNAcentral lists this transfer RNA (77 nucleotides) under Candidatus Omnitrophota bacterium. Its description in RNAcentral is "tRNA-Val". It matches the Rfam family "tRNA". Rfam says of the family: Transfer RNA (tRNA) molecules are approximately 80 nucleotides in length. Their secondary structure includes four short double-helical elements and three loops (D, anti-codon, and T loops). Lineage: Bacteria; Pseudomonadati; Candidatus Omnitrophota. RNAcentral also lists the same sequence under 1 other name. The record is from RNAcentral.